RNAcentral lists this ribosomal RNA (482 nucleotides) under bacterium HLAL11BKANTET. RNAcentral's name for it is "bacterial SSU rRNA". It matches the Rfam family "Bacterial small subunit ribosomal RNA", at positions 116 to 614 of the family's 1533-position model. The record is from RNAcentral.
CGUGGGUGAUCUGCCCUCAACUUUGGGAUAAGCCUGGGAAACUGGGUCUAAUACCGGAUAGGAACAAUCUUUAGUGUGGUUGUUGGAAAGYUUUUGCGGUKGGGGAUGAGCUCGCGGCCUAUCAGCUUGUUGGUGGGGUAAUGGCCUACCAAGGCGUCGACGGGUAGCCGGCCUGAGAGGGUGUACGGCCACAUUGGGACUGAGAUACGGCCCAGACUCCUACGGGAGGCAGCAGUGGGGAAUAUUGCACAAUGGGCGGAAGCCUGAUGCAGCGACGCCGCGUGGGGGAUGAAGGCCUUCGGGUUGUAAACUCCUUUCGACAGGGACGAAGCUUUUGUGACGGUACCUGUAUAAGAAGCACCGGCUAACUACGUGCCAGCAGCCGCGGUAAUACGUAGGGUGCGAGCGUUGUCCGGAAUUACUGGGCGUAAAGAGCUCGUAGGUGGUUUGUCGCGUCGUCUGUGAAAUUCCGGGGCUUAACU